Molecule: small RNA, 18 nt
Filed under: Arabidopsis thaliana (thale cress)
Lineage: Eukaryota; Viridiplantae; Streptophyta; Magnoliopsida; Brassicales; Brassicaceae
Description: ATSL242760
Source: RNAcentral
AAGUUCACCAUCUUUCGA